GAUGAACGCUAGCGGCAGGCUUAACACAUGCAAGUCGAGGGGCAGCGCGGGAUAGCAAUAUCCUGGCGGCGACCGGCGGAAGGGUGCGUAACGCGUGAGCGACAUGCCCGUUGCCCGGGGACAACCGGUGGAAACGCCGACUAAUCCCCGAUGGGAUAUUGUGCCGCAUGGCACGAUAUUGAAAGUUACGGCGGCGACGGAUUGGCUCUCGUCCGAUUAGCUUGUUGGCGGGGUAACGGCCCACCAAGGCUGCGAUCGGUAGGGGUUCUGAGAGGAAGGCCCCCCACAAUGGGACUGAGACACGGCCCAUACUCCUACGGGAGGCAGCAGUGAGGAAUAUUGGUCAAUGGGCGGAAGCCGGAACCAGCCAUGCCGCGUGCGGGAAGGAGGCCCUAUGGGCUGUGAACCGCUUUUGCCUGGGGGCAAUAAGGGCGUCGCGCACGUCCGAUGAGAGUACCAGGCGAAUAAGCAUCGGCUAACUCCGUG
This 486-nucleotide ribosomal RNA is filed under the name uncultured bacterium. RNAcentral's name for it is "partial 16S ribosomal RNA". It matches the Rfam family "Bacterial small subunit ribosomal RNA", at positions 28 to 507 of the family's 1533-position model. The record is from RNAcentral.